ACGGGAGGCAGCAGCUAAGAAUAUUCCGCAAUGGACGAAAGUCUGACGGAGCGACGCCGCGUGGAUGAUGAAGGUCGGAAGAUUGUAAAAUCCUUUUAUAACUGAGGAAUAAGCAGGGUGAGAGAAACGCCUUGUGGUGACUGUAGGUUAUGAAUAAGCAACGGCUAAUUACGUGCCAGCAGCCGCGGUAACACGUAAGUUGCGAGCGUUGUUCGGAAUUAUUGGGCGUAAAGGGCAUGUAGGCGGUUUUGCAAGCUUGAUGUGAAAGGCAGGAGCUUAACUCCUGACUGCGUUGAGAACUGCAUGACCAGAGUCACUGAGGGGCAAUCAGAAUUCCUGGUGUAGGGGUGAAAUCUGUAGAUAUCUGGAAGAAUACCAAUGGCGAAGGCAGGUUUCAGGCAGAUAACUGACGCUGAGGUGCGAAGGUGCGGGGAGCAAACAGGAUUAGAUACCCUGGUA
RNAcentral lists this ribosomal RNA (459 nucleotides) under uncultured Treponema sp. RNAcentral's name for it is "partial 16S ribosomal RNA". It matches the Rfam family "Bacterial small subunit ribosomal RNA", at positions 341 to 792 of the family's 1533-position model. The record is from RNAcentral. Lineage: Bacteria; Pseudomonadati; Spirochaetota; Spirochaetia; Treponematales; Treponemataceae.